RNAcentral lists this ribosomal RNA (253 nucleotides) under uncultured bacterium. RNAcentral's name for it is "partial 16S ribosomal RNA". It matches the Rfam family "Bacterial small subunit ribosomal RNA", at positions 524 to 776 of the family's 1533-position model. The record is from RNAcentral.
UACGUAGGGGGCGAGCGUUGUCCGGAUUCAUUGGGCGUAAAGCGCGCGCAGGCGGCUGGGCAAGUCGGCCGUGAAAUCUCCGGGCUUAACUCGGAGGGGUCGGGCGAGACUGCGCAGCUCGAGGCGGGUAGAGGGCAGUGGAAUUCCGGGUGUAGUGGUGGAAUGCGUAGAGCUCCGGAGGAACACCGGUGGCGAAGGCGGCAUCCUGGACCGACACUGACGCUGAGGAGCGAAAGCCAGGGGAGCAAACGGG